Long non-coding RNA from Lagopus leucura (white-tailed ptarmigan), 404 nucleotides. RefSeq lists it as uncharacterized. The transcript is spliced from 2 exons. NCBI's taxonomy places the organism in Eukaryota, Metazoa, Chordata, Aves, Galliformes, Phasianidae. The record is from RefSeq and is a predicted model, not a curated record.
AUAAUAUUAACGCAGUGACAGGGGUCGGGUUUGUGACACGUUCAGAUGGAGAAGAAAAGGAUUUAUGGGCGCUUUUGGGGUCGGCUAUCGCAAUUGUAGAGGUAGCAGCAGCCAACGCGUCGAGUUCCUUUAUUUUUCUAUUUAUUUUAUUUUAUUUUGUAUUAUUUUUUAUUCCCAGGGAGGAUUUCAGGGCCCGUUGUCGCACGGCGGUGCCUGGAGGUGGGGGUGAAUUUUUUGCUGCUGCAAAUCUCCUCAGACCGUCUGUUGGGGAAAAAGCACCCGGAGUUCGACCAGAAUCUUCAGGGGAAAUAAUAAUACUAAUAAUAAAAUCUGGAUCGUAAAGGUGAAAGCUUUAUAUUUGGGGGAGAAAACCCAAAUCCUCACCCAACCCCCCCUCCCCCAGA